Molecule: ribosomal RNA, 536 nt
Filed under: uncultured Bacteroidota bacterium
Lineage: Bacteria; Pseudomonadati; Bacteroidota
Description: bacterial SSU rRNA
Rfam family: Bacterial small subunit ribosomal RNA
Source: RNAcentral
UACGGGAGGCAGCAGUAAGGAAUAUUGGUCAAUGGGCGCAAGCCUGAACCAGCCAUGCCGCGUGCAGGAAGACGGCCCUAUGGGUUGUAAACUGCUUUUGUCAGGGAAUAAACCUCUCUACGUGUAGACAGCUGAAGGUACCUGAAGAAUAAGCAUCGGCUAACUCCGUGCCAGCAGCCGCGGUAAUACGGAGGAUGCAAGCGUUAUCCGGAUUCAUUGGGUUUAAAGGGUGCGCAGGCGGAUUAAUAAGUCAGGGGUGAAAUCCUACAGCUCAACUGUAGAACUGCCAUUGAUACUGUCAGUCUUGAGUAUAGUUGAGGUGGGCGGAAUGUGUCAUGUAGCGGUGAAAUGCUUAGAUAUGACACAGAACACCGAUCGCGAAGGCAGCUCGCUAAGCUAUAACUGACGCUCAUGCACGAAAGCGUGGGGAUCAAACAGGAUUAGAUACCCUGGUAGUCCACGCCGUAAACGAUGAUUACUCGAUGUUGGCGAUACACAGUCAGCGUCUGAGCGAAAGCAAUAAGUAUCCGCCUGGA